RNAcentral lists this ribosomal RNA (250 nucleotides) under uncultured bacterium. RNAcentral describes it as "partial 16S ribosomal RNA". It matches the Rfam family "Bacterial small subunit ribosomal RNA", at positions 355 to 603 of the family's 1533-position model. The record is from RNAcentral.
UAAGGAAUAUUGGACAAUGGACGGAAGUCUGAUCCAGCCAUCCCGCGUGGAGGAAUAAGGCCCUAUGGGUUGUAAACUCCUUUAGCAGGGGAAUAAAAAGGUCAUUUAUGAUCAAUUGAAGGUACCCUGAGAAUAAGCACCGGCUAACUCCGUGCCAGCAGCCGCGGUAAUACGGAGGGUGCAAGCGUUAUCCGGAUUUACUGGGUUUAAAGGGUGCGUAGGCGGACUAUUAAGUCAAAUGUGAAAGCUU